CCCUGGGAGAUUGUAUAGCAUGAGAUUUACGGGAGGUAGAGGAAAAAAACCUGUAGAAACAUGAAUCCUAGCAGGGCUGCCAUUGAAAGCGUGCAUUGCUUUUUCAUCUGGCCAUGAACAAACCUCCUGUCUCCUAAGUUUCAGAAAAUGGCACGCAGAAAGGCAGGGCCAGCAAGAAGAGGUCCCAAUCUGGGAUAUGCUUUCCUCAUGUUAAAGGGAGAAAAAGAUAUAUUGCUAAUGGUCCUGUAAGCAGAUGAGCAGAUGAACAGAAGAGCAGAAGAGCAGCACAGCCGAGAAGGAAUGAAUGGCACAGCAGAGAAGGAGAGAAGAGAAGGAGCAUCUGAACGUUGAGAGUUCAACUAGAAAUGGUCAGAGAGGAGACUGAUCAUGGGAUAGCCAAACUCCAGGAGAAGAUUAUGUUCCCACUCCAUCCCCUUUCCAGAUCCCCAAUCCAUCCCUCUGAGAGCCACCUCUACCACUCGAUAAAACCCCUGCAUUUACCAUCC
This 506-nucleotide long non-coding RNA is filed under the name Homo sapiens (human). Its description in RNAcentral is "HSALNT0089093". The record is from RNAcentral. Lineage: Eukaryota; Metazoa; Chordata; Mammalia; Primates; Hominidae.